RNAcentral lists this ribosomal RNA (429 nucleotides) under Pseudomonadota bacterium. RNAcentral's name for it is "Proteobacteria bacterium partial 16S ribosomal RNA". It matches the Rfam family "Bacterial small subunit ribosomal RNA", at positions 355 to 776 of the family's 1533-position model. Lineage: Bacteria; Pseudomonadati; Pseudomonadota. The record is from RNAcentral.
UGGGGAAUAUUGGACAAUGGGCGAAAGCCUGAUCCAGCCAUGCCGCGUGUGUGAAGAAGGUCUUCGGAUUGUAAAGCUCUUUAAGUUGGUAGGAAGGGCAGUAAGCGAAUACCUUGCUGUUUUGACGUUACCGACAGAAUAAGCACCGGCUAACUCUGUGCCAGCAGCCGCGGUAAUACAGAGGGUGCAAGCGUUAAUCGGAAUUACUGGGCGUAAAGCGCGCGUAGGUGGUUCGUUAAGUUGAAUGUGGAAGCCCCGGGCUCAACAUUGGAACUGCAUCCAAAACUGGCGAGCUAGAGUAGGGCAGAGGGUAGUGUAAUUUCCUGUGUAGCGGUGAAAUGCGUAGAUAUAGUAAGGAACACCAAUGGCGAAGACGACCACCUGGGAUCAUACUGACACUGAGUUGCGAAAGCGUGGGGAGCAAACAGG